GGUCGAAGUGAACAGAAAUAAGUAGAUCAGCAUUUAAAACUAGCAGAGUGCAGGAAAAAGUGGUAACUUGAGAGCCAUCUAGGCAGGAACCCCUUAGGAAGGUCAGAAUUCAUAAAAAUCUGUAUGUGGGGUCGUAGGUAAAAAGCGUUGUCUUGUACACCAGGUAGGCAACCCAGGAGGGCUCUGAGCUUGACAUCUAACCAGGAAGACUAAGAGUGAGUGUUCAGGGGCCCCUGGCUGGCCUAGUCCAUAGAGCAUGCCGUACUUAAUCUUGGGGUUGUGAAUCUGGGGCCCACGUUGGGUGUAGAGAUUACUUAAAAAUGAAAAUGGAAGUGCUCAGAAGGGAAAUCAUAUUCAACUGGCCCCUGAGUUGCCCUCUGGUAGAUGAAUGUGUGUCCCGGAUGAACACCAAGAGUUCCCAGAAUUAAAACUACCGGCAAAGAGUGCACGGGUUUCGUGGCUUGCUGCAGAAAAGAGCUGCCUUCUUGGACGCGUAGUAUAGUAGGCCAGAGUGGGUGCAAGCAGCUAGGACUUAUGUGUGUUCUUAAAAGCAUUUCUAUGGUCUUAAGCAUGGAUGACUGUUGUGUUUUGUUACACUUUAUACUCCCCCCAAACCUAACGUGGGAAAGAUGGCAUAGUGGAAACGGUGUCUUAAAAGGAGAGCCACCAAUGGGGCGCCUGGGUGGCUUGUAGGUUAAGUGUCCAACUUCAGCUCAGGUCAUGAUCUCACGGUUUGUGAGUUCAAGCCCCGCGUCGGGCCCUCUGCUGACAGCUCAUAGCCUGGAGCCUGCUUCAGAUUCUGUGUGUGUGUGUGUGUGUCUCUCUUCUCCCCUCCUCACGCUCUAUGUCUCUCAAAAAUAAAUAAAUGUUAAAAAAAAAAGAAAAAAGAACCACCAACAGACUGAUGGGCUUGCCUUUUAAAAUUCUGCAACCAUGGAUAAACCAUCGAAUCAUGCUGUGACUCGUCUGUAUGAUAAAGUAACCAUGUCUGCCGAAUCAAGACGUCACAGCAUUGGACUGUGGAGAAAGUGGGAAAAUAAACAUAAAGGUGCUAACAGAAGUGCCAAGGGGGGGACACAAUCACGAUCAGUUGGACUCCUUGGGGAACACCCAACAGAAGUCAAGUUCCACUCAGCUAGAAAGGGGCUCAAUUUCAGGUCGUCCACAGAACCAAAGCCAGGAGGAAAAGGAUGCAUGUUAAAGGGGUGGUUUGCCCCUUUUUUCGAUAUUCCCACCCAAAUCCUGGUAAGGGGGCUUUCCCUCUCGUACCACUACCACCCUUUCUGAAUGUCAACAGCCCUGUCUUUGGUUCCAGGGAUCUUAGCCAUGUUCUCAGCCACUGAAAAUCGGGUUGUGGACACAGGGCCGUUUGAAUGGAACUGAGUGAAUUCUUGGGCCAUGGGCUAAAAAACCCAGAGAGUUCUCAGACAACCUUCAGUGAAUUCUUCCCCGUUCCAUAGGCCAAGGGCUCUAUCUGCACGUCUUCUGGGUAUAACCUACCUGUAGGCCCAGCUACAUAAUCCCUGGGGCCCAGAACAAAAUGAAACUGCAAAAUCCCUUGUCCAGAAAGUAGUGAGUGCUCUGGAGAGCAUGAAACCCUUCUGAGCAUGAGGCUCUGUGCGACUGUAGCCUGCAUGCCGGGAGGCCAGCGCUGCACACACCUUAUAAGCCAGUCAGGGCCGACAGGUGCAUUGAACGGAGCUCAGGGUUUGUGUCACUGAGGACUGUGCUCACUAAAACUCCUUCUCUUACUUCAGAGACACAGCGAGAUUAUGUUCCCCACUGGCUCAGGCUGUCGGGAACUGCCAUCACAGUCUCCUGUGUCAGACUUCACCCUACCUGCCAAUCCGCCACAUUCAAAGUCCUCUGGAGAGAAUUCUAUCACCUGGGGGACAGUGGAGCCACAAAAUGGAGGACAUGAUGCUUGAGUCCUCAUGUGGAAGGCUGCCUGCCAAAUACCACAGUGAACUCCAGGAUAAGUAAAAUUUCUAGUAUGUGAAGCCACUGAAAUUGUGGGGUUUUUAUUGGUAAACGCUGCCAUACCUAGACUGUACAUGUCAGGACAGGGCUAUGUUACAGUUACAUACAACACCAAAAUCUCAUUAUCUUAUAACAAAAAUGCAUUUCUUGUUUUCGAUAUACCAUCAAGAACACUAUACUCCGUGAACAGCUAUCUACUCAGGGAGUGAGGCUGAUAAAAGUUCCCUCCUGACUUCUGUUUCCGAGAUCACCACGGGGCUGGGAAAGAACGUGGUAAAUGAUACAUCAGCUUUGAAGGUUUGUGUGCAUACGUGACAUGUCACUUCUGCUUACGUUUCAAAGAAAUGGUCAUGCUUAUCUUUAAAAAGAGCAAAGAACUGCAAUCCUACUUUGUGCCACAAAAGGGAAAAUCCAGACACAUUGGCGAAUGAGAGCGAGGAUUACCGUGUGAAUCGACGUUGGUGCCUGGAAGAAGGGCACUGCCAUACAGACACUUAAAAUACGUCGUACAGAACAAGUCAUUGGGCAGCAGGCUGGUCAGCGGGACAGCCCUUCUGUACCCUGGUAACAUAUUUAGUAAAUCCGUCCCCAGUGGGACGUAGAAGGUAGACCAGGAGCCCAGUGAGACUCUAACCUAAUGGGAAGUAGAUGGAGGCAGUGACGCGUGUUAGAUACUGUUAUCUGCCUUUAGCAAGAUACCGUAAGUGACAGCUCAGGGGAGAACUACUUGGUUUUCUAGAAGACAUAGAAAGGUAUUAAGGAAUUCUGCCGAUCCAGGUCCUUUUAGGGUUAGAAAAGCGGACUGUCCCUAGACCCUCAGUAACAAGACUGGAAAGUAUUAAGUGACAAAGGUACUAAAAGAUCUCUGAUUUAAAAAAAGAAAUGACACAAUUUUUCCGCAAAGAUGAGAUUAAGGGUUCUAAGCUUAGUGUUUCAGAGAGCAGUCAGAUAGUCCUUAGUCGAGAGAGAGGGGCACACACGUGAGGAGGCAAAAAGAUACAUCAGACUUGAGAGUUUUAUACAGGAAGGAACUCGAGUGCGGAAUUUACAAUACGGGAACCAGAAGCACAUAUAGCAAAAAGGUCACCUUAUAAAGGUAAUUGUUAUUGUUAAGGAAACCAUGGGCAUGGAUAAAAAGAAGACUUUGAUCCUUAAAACAAGCAAUCCCUCCGAGUGUCCCUGCAGGAAGCCCAGAUAACUUAUCUUUCUGGUUUACAGGUUGCCGCUGGACCAUAAGGAGCCAUGUUUCAACAGGAUACAAAAGACCGUGUAUCACGUGGAGAUCUUAGAUCCUUUUCUCUAGUCAGGGCCUGCCCCAGAUGUGUUUCCAUUGACUCUUAGCCCCAUUCCAGGCAAGAUCAUUCAACACACAAGAGUGACUUUCCCUGGUUUCAGGGAGCAAGUUUCUUCUUGGUGUAAAAUUGCAAAUUCCGUAUUUUUUAGAUGUCUUUAGGGACUAUGGGUGCCAAGGUAAUACUUGCAAAAUGGGACUUGCAACUUGCUCUCUUAUCCUUUAAAUGUGUCUGGAGCUACCCUGCUGAGUAAAAGGAUGCUGCUAAUUUUGUGAUGUUCUAUUCUCAUAGCAACCGGCGGUGACGUCAGAGGGCUAUUUUAUCACAGAAGCUAUCCAAAAAAAGAAGGAGACAGUCCUGGCUUCCUUGCUCUUUAUGCAACAAUCAUUUCACAUCGAUAAAAAUGGAAACAGGAAAUAAAAGACUCUAAUAGCUUA
Molecule: long non-coding RNA, 3709 nt
Organism: Neofelis nebulosa (Clouded leopard)
Lineage: Eukaryota; Metazoa; Chordata; Mammalia; Carnivora; Felidae
Exons: 2
Source: RefSeq, a predicted model, not a curated record